Molecule: long non-coding RNA, 314 nt
Filed under: Homo sapiens (human)
Lineage: Eukaryota; Metazoa; Chordata; Mammalia; Primates; Hominidae
Description: HSALNT0066904
Source: RNAcentral
CCUAGAGACUGAGAUCAGAGCCGAGGGGCAGACCACGGAACAGGGAGGUGUCUGGGUGGCUGGACAUGCCAUGGAGUUCUGGUCCAGUCUUUCAUGUCUUAAACAGGAUGAUAAGACAAGUUUAGGUUACAUUUUGAAGGAUGGAAACUGGACUUUCAAUUAAGUCAGUAGCAAGGGAAGCACAAAACCAGGGGAUACGGUGGUGCUGCUUUCCAGCAGAAAAGCAGUUCAAAGCCCGGACUGCGCCUUCUGGAGCGAAAUUCAAAUGUGGAAGCUUCGAAUAGUCAAGAGCUCUGCACCCCCCGGAAGUACGU